GUUCCUGUGGCUCAGUUGGUAGAGCAUGGUGUGUGCAACGCCAGGGUUGUGGGUUCGAUUCCUACGGGGGGCC
Molecule: transfer RNA, 73 nt
Filed under: Salmo salar (Atlantic salmon)
Lineage: Eukaryota; Metazoa; Chordata; Actinopteri; Salmoniformes; Salmonidae
Rfam family: tRNA
About the family: Transfer RNA (tRNA) molecules are approximately 80 nucleotides in length. Their secondary structure includes four short double-helical elements and three loops (D, anti-codon, and T loops).
Source: Rfam by way of RNAcentral